GCUGCGCAGAAAACCUUCCUUGUCGGCAUCGAGGAUCGCGACCAGCGCGCAUUCCGGAAUGUCGAGGCCUUCGCGCAGCAGGUUGAUGCCGACCAGCGCGUCGAAUGCGCCGAGUCGCNUCGCGGAUGAUCUCAAUGCGCUCGAUGGUGUCGAUGUCCGAGUGCAUGUAGCGCACGCGGAUGCCCUGCUCGUGCAGAUAUUCGGUGAGGUCUUCCGCCAUGCGCUUGGUCAGCACGGUGAUCAGCGAGCGAUAGCCCGCCUGCGCGGUGGCGCGGACCUCGCCGACCAG
This 289-nucleotide unclassified non-coding RNA is filed under the name Hevea brasiliensis (rubber tree). Lineage: Eukaryota; Viridiplantae; Streptophyta; Magnoliopsida; Malpighiales; Euphorbiaceae. The record is from RNAcentral.